This 735-nucleotide ribosomal RNA is filed under the name archaeon enrichment culture clone A21D46. RNAcentral's name for it is "bacterial SSU rRNA". It matches the Rfam family "Archaeal small subunit ribosomal RNA", at positions 21 to 762 of the family's 1478-position model. The record is from RNAcentral.
GGUUACUGCUAUCGAGGUUCGACUAAGCCAUGCGAGUCGAAUGUAGCAAUACAUGGCGAACUGCUCAGUAACACGUGGACAACCUGCCCUUAGGUUGGGUAUAAACCCGGGAAACUGGGUAUAAUACCCGAUAGGUCUCGAUUGCUGGAAUGCAUCGAGAUUUAAAGCUCCGGCGCCUAAGGAUGGGUCUGCGGCCUAUCAGGUAGUAGUGGGUGUAGCGUACCUACUAGCCUACGACGGGUACGGGUUGUGAGAGCAAGAGCCCGGAGAUGGAUUCUGAGACACGAAUCCAGGCCCUACGGGGUGCAGCAGGCGCGAAAACUUUACAAUGCUGGCAACAGCGAUAAGGGAACCUCGAGUGCCAGGUUACAAAUCUGGCUGUCGAGAUGCCUAAAAAGCAUUUCAUAGCAAGGGCCGGGCAAGACCGGUGCCAGCCGCCGCGGUAACACCGGCGGCUCGAGUGGUAACCGUUAUUAUUGGGUCUAAAGGGUCUGUAGCCGGCCGGAUAAGUCUCUUGAGAAAUCUGGCAGCUUAACUGUCAGGCUUUCAGGAGAUACUGUCUGGCUCGAGGCCGGGAGAGGUGAGAGGUACUUCAGGGGUAGGGGUGAAAUCUUGUAAUCCUUGAAGGACCACCAGUGGCGAAGGCGUCUCACCAGAACGGACCUGACGGCAAGGGACGAAAGCUAGGGGCACGAACCGGAUUAGAUACCCGGGUAGUCCUAGCCGUAAACGAUA